This 543-nucleotide ribosomal RNA is filed under the name uncultured beta proteobacterium. RNAcentral's name for it is "partial 16S ribosomal RNA". The record is from RNAcentral. Lineage: Bacteria; Pseudomonadati; Pseudomonadota; Betaproteobacteria.
UCCAGGCGGAUGACUUCACGCGUUAGCUACGUUACUCAGGAUGUAAAUCCCGAACAACUAGUCAGCAUCGUUUAGGGCGUGGACUACCAGGGUAUCUAAUCCUGUUUGCUCCCCACGCUUUCGUGCAUGAGCGUCAGUGUUAUCCCAGGGGGCUGCCUUCGCCAUUGGUAUUCCUCCACAUAUCUACGCAUUUCACUGCUACACGUGGAAUUCUACCCCCCUCUGACACACUCUAGCUAUACAGUCACAGGCGCCAUUCCCAGGUUAAGCCCGGGGAUUUCACGCCUGUCUUGUAUAACCGCCUGCGCACGCUUUACGCCCAGUAAUUCCGAUAAACGCUCGCACCCUACGUAUUACCGCGGCUGCUGGCACGUAGUUAGCCGGUGCUUAUUCUUCAGGUACCGUCAUUCCCGGACUGUGUUAGAGCCGGUGUUUCUUCCCUGACAAAAGAGCUUUACAACCCGAAGGCCUUCUUCACUCACGCGGCAUUGCUGGAUCAGGGUUUCCCCCAUUGUCCAAAAUUCCCCACUGCUGCCUCCCGUA